GAGUAACGCGUGAGAAUUUGGCUUCAGGUCGGGGACAACAGUUGGAAACGACUGCUAAUACCGGAUGUGCCGGAAGGUGAAAGAUUUAUCGCCUGAAGAUAAGCUCGCGUCUGAUUAGCUAGUAGGCGGGGUAAGAGCCCACCUAGGCGACGAUCAGUAGCUGGUCUGAGAGGAUGAUCAGCCACACUGGGACUGAGACACGGCCCAGACUCCUACGGGAGGCAGCAGUGGGGAAUUUUCCGCAAUGGGCGAAAGCCUGACGGAGCAAUACCGCGUGAGGGAGGAAGGCUCUUGGGUCGUAAACCUCUUUUCUCAAGGAAGAAGAAAGUGACGGUACUUGAGGAAUAAGCAUCGGCUAACUCCGUGCCAGCAGCCGCGGUAAUACGGAGGAUGCAAGCGUUAUCCGGAAUGAUUGGGCGUAAAGGGUCCGUAGGUGGAACUGAAAGUCUGCUGUUAAAGAAUCUGGCUCAACCAGAUAGGAGCAGUGGAAACUACAGAACUAGAGUAUGGUAGGGGUAGAAGGAAUUCCUAGUGUAGCGGUGAAAUGCGUAGAUAUUAGGAAGAACACCGGUGGCGAAAGCGUUCUACUAGACCAAAACUGACACUGAGGGACGAAAGCUAGGGGAGCGAAUGGGAUUAGAUAC
This 644-nucleotide ribosomal RNA is filed under the name Anabaena sp. PCC 9109. RNAcentral describes it as "bacterial SSU rRNA". It matches the Rfam family "Bacterial small subunit ribosomal RNA", at positions 108 to 785 of the family's 1533-position model. The record is from RNAcentral. Lineage: Bacteria; Bacillati; Cyanobacteriota; Cyanophyceae; Nostocales; Nostocaceae.